GCGAGCUAUGCAGUAAGCUCUCAUCAAAGCUUUAAGGAAGCUCUUUGUUUUUUGAAAGGGUGCUUUUAUGAGAUAGAGAUUUUUUAGAUAAUGCUUUUUUAGAUAAUGCUGGGGAAGGUUUUCCGGUUUAUCUCGGAGGGCUUGUAGCUCACUUGGUUAGAGCGCGCGCUUGAUAAGCGUGAGGUCGGAGGUUCAAGUCCUCCCAGGCCCACCAAUUUACCUAUCCAUUUGCCUUUAUCUGUUUAUUUGCCGAUUUAUCGGUCCAUUGAAUUUAAGUGUUGGUAGCAGUUUUAUAAUGAUGAGAAAUCAUGCUUAUAAAAGAACUCCUUAUAAAAGGCUUGUUUUUAAAAUGUGACGCUUAUCCAUUUCGCUUACGCAAGAGAAACUUCAAGCGGGCCAAAGACAAAGGGCUUUAAUUUUUGCAAAAAACUUUGAAUUUUGCGUGAUCCUUUGUAUUUAGCUAAACACUGUGAAUUUCAAAUUGUUCCACCUUCAUGAUCGCUAGUUUAACAGCUGCGAAUGCUUCAGCCUUUCUUGGGGGCAGUAGCUCGUCUAGGAGAGCACCUGCUUUGCAAGCAGGGGGCGUCGGUUCA
RNAcentral lists this unclassified non-coding RNA (593 nucleotides) under uncultured Bartonella sp. RNAcentral's name for it is "partial 16S-23S ribosomal RNA intergenic spacer". The stretch from base 138 to 211 matches the Rfam family "tRNA". Lineage: Bacteria; Pseudomonadati; Pseudomonadota; Alphaproteobacteria; Hyphomicrobiales; Bartonellaceae. The record is from RNAcentral.